GGUCUUGGGGGCGGGGAAGCAGCCGUGAGCCCGCACGCCCAGCAUUCCCGUUACGUCAUGGCGCUAGUGAAACGAGCCUUGCGCUGUGCAUUGUGGGAAGGGCUGCGGGUCCCGCAGGAGCAGAGAGCCCCUGCCCCGGAGCGCUUCCAAGCUAAGCGUGGGGCUCGCUGCGGCAGGGCGGGGAGGCGGUCACACGGUGACAGCGCCAGCCGGAGGGCGGUGUACUAGGCAAGGGCAGCAGGUAGGCAGCGUGCCCUGAGCAGGUGUCCAGGAGUGAGUGUCUGGAGGGUGGCCUGCUGUCUUCAUGCAGUUUUACAAUGAAAGGCAGAUGGUAGAAGAUGCAGUUCUAUUCAUCUUGGCUCUUCUGGGCAUAUAUGGCUGUGGGUUUCUGCUAUGGUGGUGCAAAUUUAGACAAGACACUGAUGAAAUGGUGGGCCGAGUUCUAUCCCAAUAACGAAGCUGUUGCCAGUAAUAUUGAGAAAUGUGUUUUUUACAAUUCCAAGAAUAGAAAAUAAGCCAAGGGCAGUAAAAGUGGUAAUGGGACCACCAAGGAUUAUAGAAUUCAUGGCACAAAAUCAUAUGGGUAGAAUGCUCAUUACUGAUGCCCAUAAAUAUAUAUAUAUUUUUGAUGCUCAGGGCAAAGGAAAUUUAAUGGCCCAAAGAUCUGGUGAAAAUUCACCACAACCUUUAGGGUUUACAUGGAAAUCACAUGAAGGGAUAGGCACAAUACACAGUAGAGCAGUAAGAGAAGGACACUGGCAGUGUAUAAUAAUAGAAGGAUUAAAAAAAAAUUGCAUGCUCACCUAAUCUUUUGAUAAAUCCAGAAAGAAUGAGUUCAGAUAUGAAAAUAUAAUGGAUUAAGCGCAACAAAACAGCUACUGUCAAUAGUAUUCAAAAUUGUACUUUCACAGUUCCAAAUAAUAAGCAAUAAUGGUUGUAAUGGGCCCAUAAAAUUAUAGAGUUGAUUGCACAAAAUUUGAAAGGUAGAACACGUGACCCACAAUGCUCAAAUGACAUAUUACAUAUGUUUCUCAAGUUUGGUUAUUACAUUUUAUAACCCAUCACAAUUAUUAUGCUGUGCCUAAACCUUCAGUAUGUGAAUGGGAUGCUACUGGCAAUACAAGUAAAAUAUGGGGGAAAGGAGUAAGGACUGGGCAAUGUGCAAUAUAGAUCUACAAAAAUUGUAUGUUCAUAUAAUUUCACAAUACAUCCAGACCAGAAUUCUCCAUGCGCUCUUAUAGCAUGGCAUGUCCCUAAAUGGAGUGCAAAAAGUAAAGAAACAAAUACUUAUACAAUGGGCUCAUAAUCUUAAUAAUAAAACAGAAGUUGAAUUUGGGAUCACUGAUUCAUGAGGAGAAAUUAGUAAAAUAGAUAUUCAAUGUGAAUUACAGACCAAAGUUAUAUUUAGAAAUCAAUUAAAAUGACAAGUACCUUGGUAUACACAUAUAAUAAAAGACACUGAGUGUAAGGAAGAAAGUAAAAGCCAACUCUUAUUUCACUAUUGGCGUGAAGGUAGUAUGACCAUAACAAAGGCGUGGAAGUGGACUAUGGAGAAUGACUGGCCCUCAAAUUAAUUACACUUUUACUAUUUUGUGGACACCCAAACCUGAAUCAAUUGGUGUUGACCCAUAUAUAGUAAAGGAAGAUAAAAGAAACAAAUAAUCGACCCCACUUACUCUCUAAAGAAAGUAAUGGCAGUUUUAGCUUUCUUGCCAAAAACCACAAUGCAGUAAAUAUAUUGAACUUCUAUUUGUAGGAUGGAAAAGAUGGAUGGAAACCCACUUUUAUUAAAAGCUCCUAUAAAUAGAAAGAAAGAAAAGAAGUUUGAUGGAUACAAUGUUGGGAGGAACUGGUACAGGGCUUGGAGUACUAAACAGUAUAGAUGAGGAGGUAUUGGCUCAUCAGUUAAAUGCAGUAGGACAACACUUAGGAGCUUUAUCUAAAUCUUUGAUAACAUCUUUGAAUGACAUAAGUACCAGCCAUCACCUCACCGCCAGUUUGCUCCCGGGCUGGGAGAAGUUGCAAAACGCUGAUCAUAUAGCCAUACUAAACACAGUAGAAGUAUUGCAAAGCAGUGAAUCUAUGGCAUUGGCUUGCAUAAAAGCACAAACAUGGACCAGUGAUGUAGUAAAAGAUAUUAUAUGAGAUUGAAUGAGUGGUAUCUUACCUUUCGAAAUAAGUCUAAUAUGGAAGCGUACCAUCAAAGCUGAACAAAAGUCAUAUUCUUGGUGGAAAAUGGUAAACUUUACAUAUAAUCCACAAGUAAAUCAAAUUACUACAUUUAUAGUCAAUGUCUGAAGCCUGAACUGAAUGGAUAUCUCCUAUUGUAGCACUAGGGUUAAAUGUUAAUGCUAGUGUAAUGCAAACAGUAGAACACAAAUUAUGGGCCAUAAAACAGAAUAAUACGUGGAAAACUGUGGAACUUGAGGCUUGUAUGGAAGAACGAGGAAUGGGAUAUAUUUGUAAUAGUGAUGCAAUCCAGCCAUAUGAUGUACAUUUAAAUGAAGGAAAAUGUCUAUCAAUUAAACCCUUUUCUCUUUAAUGGAUCAAUCUUUGUGUACAUUGGAAAUAAAUGUGUGUUACAAGUUGGUGUACAUAUGUACGUUAUUAACUUUAAACAAUAUAAUUCAAUCCUUCUGAGAAUAAAUGUUUUUGUAAUAUCACCUCACUGAUUGGUUGCGAUUUCAAUUUCACACAACCUGAAAUUGAAAAUGAAGAAAUUAAGGAUCAAUAUCAGAUAUGUGAAAGGAUCACCCCAAUACCUUUUGGAGUAGAUAUAAGUUUAGUUAAGCAAUUAAUGGACAUCCUGAAUUGUGAAAAGGCCCAGGAAAAUGCACAAAGAGUUAUGAUUAUUGUCUCCACAAGUGUGACUAAAGUGAGAAUCAAGAGUAGUGAGGAAUUAUGCCAGUACGAAGACAGGUCCGCUCAGUCUCCUGAAAAUGAGAGCCUUGAGCCAACACUGGACAAGACCACACACUCAUUGGACUCAAAUAAAAUGCUGGAUUGAUAAAGGAGUGUACAACCCGGCAGGAGAAGAUUGAAUCAAAAGAUUUUUGCUUUAGCUGCUCUGAAAAACUCUUGCAGCACCUUGGAUAGAGAUCUACAGGAAAACUGAAAAAGGGGUUUAAAAACACUGUGAAAAUUACCUCUCCAGAUUUGAAUAGUAAUGGUGGUGACAGUAUCAUAAUGCCUUAGUGUGCAUAAAAAUGUAGCUAGUUUAAUAAUUAGGUUUUUAAAUAUGUAAUGAUACUUUAUAGUUAGAAGUCCAAAAUUGCCACUGCAAUUAUUCUCUAUUAGAAAAUAUCACAAUGGAGGACAUAGACUACAUUGACCAACUGCAGAUAAACAGGGUGUGACGAUGCUGCCUGUGGGAGCCAGCUGAGGUCACUCAGUCAGGGUCAACUGCAAACCGAACAGGGCAAACAAACCCCAAACGCUGGUGGAUAUUCCAAUACUUAGAUUUACUAAGCCAGAACAAAACAGCUCCUGUAGUACCUCACUGGUUACUCAGAAGACCAAACAACGCAGUUCCCUUCAAGUUCCCAGCCUCGGGCCUCCAUCCAGACACACAUGUCAGAUAUGAUGAUGAUUAUUGAAAAUCUUCUCUCAUUAUAUGAAAGAAAAGGUUCUCCAACCCCAAAGGAUCAUUCACACACCCAGGUCCAAUUAUAACUUAGAUCUUACCCAAAAUACACACUGAUAGCCAAUUCUUAUCAACUAAGCUAAAGUUUAUUAAAAAAGAAAAGAGAGAGAGUGUUGGUUAAAAGAUCAAUAUACAUACAGACUUGAAUUCAAUUCUUGAGGUUCAGAUAUAUAGCAGAGAUGAGCUUGUAGUUGCCAAAAGUCCUUUUAGAAAUAGUCCAUAGGUUAUAGUCCAAUGUUCAUAUUCAGGGUGACUCCAGUCAGUGACUGGGGAUCUCAAUCCUUAUGGCUUAGGGUUUCCCCUUCUUGAAACCCAAAGCAGAUCUGAGAUGAAGAAGGAUCACGUCCGAGGGUUUUUAUACAUUUCCAGCAGCCUUUUGGCCUGAGAAAACAAUAGGCUUAACUUUCCUUCUCCCAAACAUCAUGGCAAUUAGCACAAGUUAAUUUAUCUAUUAAACAGUUCAGAUACAGGUUACCACAACCUUCAAAGAGACAUAUAGACAAUAAUACUAUUUCAUUCAAGUGUCUUCCUAAAUGUUAAUACUCCCUUUUUGAUCCAUGAAUCAAAGCCAUAGUAAUAGACAAGAAUUGUUUGCUUACAGCACAAGACCUGAGCCCACAUCUACCCUUCUGUCUCUAACAAUGCAGGCUUGCAUUUCAAAGCUCUAUUCAUAUACAUAUCUUCCUAAAAGUUCAGACAUGGAUCAGGUCAGUCUGUGAGUUAAUUAACUCUUUCUGGCCCUGUCACCUUUCAAUAAGAUAUUAAAUUACACUUGUAACAUCACACAGGGUGAAAUAAAAUUCAAAAAGUCAUGAGCUCCCUCCAAAAUACCUGAAGGGAGGGGUAAGGAAGAGGAGCAGCUUGAAGGACAGGCAGAGCUGAUUGGUUGAACAGUUGCUGCCCACACAGGGAGGAUCCAUGCUACUUACCAAGCCUGAAAUAGCAACCAAUCAGAGAAGACCAGAAACUGAAUAUGAGGAGACAGCCAGCAGGCUGGUGGGUGGGUGUGGAGGUGAUCAGAGAGUGGAGAGCAACCAGCAGCAGCAAAAGGAGAAGAUCGAAGAGCAGAAAUAGGAGAGCAGUAGACUGAUCAGAAGAACCUAGAUGGUUCACAGGGAUUCAGAAAGAUCAAGUCAAAACUUUCCAUGAAAAACCACCAGAGACAACUGAAAACUUUAAAAACCACCUAAAGGUCAAAAAGGAACAUUACAAUAACACAGAUUUGUGAUCCUGGAAUGUAUAAACAGGAAAAUCUCAAAUAGAGGUAGAUUAUUUUACUUCUAUAUUUGGCACUGUGUGACUGUUGCUGGAAUACCAUGUCCAUUUCUGGUGCUAACAAUUCAAGAAGGAUGUCGAUAAAUUGGAGAGGAUUCGGAGAAGAACCACAAAAAUGAUGAAAGGAUUAGAAAACAUGCCUUAGUGAUAGAUUCAAGGAGCUCUAUCUAUUUAGCUUCUUAAAGAGAAGAUUAAGCUUUGACUUGAUUACAGUCCAAGUAUCUUUGUGGGGAACAAAUAUUUAAUAAUGGACUCUUCAAUCUAACAGAGAAAGAUACAACCAAGUCCAAUUGCUGGAAGUUGAAACAAGACAAAUUCAGACUGGAAAUAAGGAAUACAUUUUAUGAUGAGAGUCACUAAUCAGUGGAACAGUUUACUAAGGGUUGUUGUGGAAUCUCCAAUACUGACCAUUUUAAAAUCAAGAUUGGAUGGACUUUCUAAAAGAGAUAGUGUAAGAAUUAUUUUGGAGCAGUUUUAUGGCCUGUGUAACACAGGUUGGACCAGAAUGAUCACAGUGGUCCCUUCUGGUCUUGGAACCUAUGAAUGUUUGGAUCUUGGUUUUUGUGAAACUGGCCAGCUCUGCAACAGACUGAAUUGAAGGGGAAAACCUGCUUUAUUAGAUAAGAAAGCCACUUUAUUAGUAAGUGGUGACCCAGGUUCCUAUUUAAUGCUUUUUU
RNA transcript from Caretta caretta (loggerhead turtle), 5595 nucleotides. RefSeq lists it as uncharacterized. The record is from RefSeq and is a predicted model, not a curated record. NCBI's taxonomy places the organism in Eukaryota, Metazoa, Chordata, Testudines, Cheloniidae.